UGGGGAAUCUUCCGCAAUGGGCGAAAGCCUGACGGAGCAAUGCCGCGUGAGUGAAGAAGGCCUUCGGGUUGUAAAGCUCUGUCCUAAGGGAAGAAUGUACAGUAUGUGAAUAAUGUACUGUAAUGACGGUACCUUGGGAGGAAGCCCCGGCUAACUACGUGCCAGCAGCCGCGGUAACACGUAGGGGGCGAGCGUUGUCCGGAAUUACUGGGCGUAAAGCGCGCGUAGGCGGAUUAUUAAGUCAGAUGUGAAACCUCUGGGCUCAACCGAGAGCUUGCAUCUGAUACUGGUAAUCUUGAGUGUAGAAGAGGAGAGUGGAAUUCCUAGUGUAGCGGUGAAAUGCGUAGAUAUUAGGAGGAACACCAGUGGCGAAGGCGACUCUCUGGUCUAUAACUGACGCUGAGGCGCGAAAGCGUGGGGAGCAAACAGG
RNAcentral lists this ribosomal RNA (430 nucleotides) under uncultured bacterium. Its description in RNAcentral is "bacterial SSU rRNA". It matches the Rfam family "Bacterial small subunit ribosomal RNA", at positions 355 to 776 of the family's 1533-position model. The record is from RNAcentral.